GAUAACCUUCCUCAUUUCUAUGAUGCAUAUGAGGAUCAUUGAUAAUGUCUAUAGUGAAUGUAGUGAUAAUGCAAGUGAUUUGUUGUUUUAGGCUACGUGAAGGAGGAGAGCUUUUCGAUAGAUACUUUCAAGGUAAGGGAACAAUACACUUCCGACAUAGGAUCCGACGUAGGAUUGUAUGUGCUAUACUGAACUUGGUGGUGUGUUUUAUGUGCAGAGGUGGGAACUAUAUGAGUAGGACGCAAAGACUGUUAUGAUUCAAACAAAAUUAUGAGUUUGCAUGUUGUCAUCUCGGUGUUGUACACCUAGAUCUCAUACCUGAGGUGAUUAAAAGAAUCUUUACUUCUGUUUAUACAUAUCUUAUUGACGUUUUGUCGCCAUCUUAUUGAAGUUUACUUGAAACUCUUUGCUUAGUAUUUUUCUGUUUAUCUCAACAGAAGACACUUCUGAGUUGAAUGAAAUAGAUUCUGGUUUUGUUAGAUUACAAUGAGGCGAGAAUCAACUUAUAAAAAUUGAAUUUUAGAUAAGAGACAAGUUCUUGGAUAUGUCACUCUAUCUAUGAGGGAUGAUUAAACCAAGUUGAAAAAAUAGAAGCUUAAAGAUUUAUAGGAACGCCAAUUGAAAUUCAUCAUUCCCCCUACAUAUCUAUUUGUUAAUCUGCGUCAUCUUCUUUACUUCCAAAUUUCUCUUUUGGUUUGCUUCAGAGUCAAAGUAAGACAGCGUUAACAUUUAUCUCUGGGACAAGCAGGCAUAGAAUUAUGAAAAAAAUGUUCCAUUUAUUACACUAUUUCUCAAAUUAUUAGCUGCGACCCUACUCUAUCCGGUCCAGUAUUACAACAAUAGAGACUUUCAUAUGACUUUUAGGUUUGCAAAAUGAUUGAUUUGUAUCUUCUUAUCUUUUUAUAGAAAUGCCUUUGUUUUCUUACUAUUCAAUCAUGGUAGUGGCUAAUGAUUGCAAUCAACUUUGCAAAAAGAAAUCUUUGACCGAUAUCUGUGAACCAACAUUUAGUAAAGUUCACAAAGAAAGUGCUACAAAAAUAUUGACUUGAAGUUGUAAGAAACUGAGUUCGAGAGUCUAUAGAAACCUUAGCCCAAUGUUUUAUUUGCUGGCUUCAUGGAUACAUGUGCUUAUUCAUGACUCAUAAAGCAUGAAGGUUUAUUUCCAUAUAAACUUAAAUUUUGUACUGAGUUGAUUUUUGUUGUUUAAAAAGAGCAGUCACUGCUUCUGAUUGAAAAAUCAAGUGACCAUUGUCCAUUCACAAAUAAUGAUAUCAACUGAACAGAAUAAAGCUAUCAUCUUUACAUUUUUACCACAAAAAAUAAAAUAAAAGAAUAAAGCUAUCACAAAAUUGGAAAACUUACCGGCGGUAACGGUGAAAGCGAAUUGCAACAAUAGAAAAAAACAUCAAUAGUGGAAAGGAAGACUCUUUAUUAGAAUAUAGGCUUUUAACUAAAUUGGGGUUUAAUUGAAAUUAAACUGAUGACCCAUAUGUGGUCUCAUCUUAGGGGUGUUCAAUCCGGAUAUCGGUUCGGUUUAGGUUUGGUUUUUUUUUAUUUUCGGUAUUUCGGUUAGUAAAAUAUAACUACCAUUCUAAAUCCAUAUUUACUUCGGUUCGGUUCGGUUUAUAUACCGUCGGUUUUCGGUUUAUUCGGUUUUAUACCAAAAAACAUAAUUAUUUAGUUUGAGAUCAUAUUAUAUGAAUUUUAGAGUCAUAUUGUCAACACAGUCAUUUAUUAAAAAUAUAUUACAUGUUCAAAUAAAUGAACAAAAAAGUAAAAAUGCUUCUACCAUCAAAUAAAAUAAUCAAAUCUAUAACUAAAAUCAAAACUUGAAAUUUUGAAAAUAAAAAUAUGAAACAAAAUAGAAACAUGAAAGAAAAGUUUUUCCACUCUUCCAUAUUUAGUGUUCAUUAAAGUCAUGUUUUUUUCAAUUGAACACGAAACUCUCUUUGUUUACAGAUUAGAAAAAAUUUGUGAAAAUUUUUCAUUAGUUAUUGUCCAUCAAAUUUAUAAUCUUCAUAUUAAUUUAGUGAAGACUAAAAUAAAGCAAAAAGAUCAAAAGAAGACUUAGAAAAUAAGAUGUAUGAAUUGCGAUGUAUUGUUAUUUAAUUAUAGUUCAAGUGUUUUACAAAUUAAGGUUCUUUAUUACUAUAAAAUUAUGGUAAUAGUUAUUAACACAAAUUUAACUUAUGUAACAAAUAGAUUUUCAUGUAUUGUUAUAAAAUAGAUACAUAUUUACAUGUUUCUACUUUUAAUCGGUUUUGUUCGGUUUAUUCGGUUUAAUCGUUUAUAUACCAAACCAUAUCCAAAUCCUACGGUUUUUAUAAAAUUAUAUCCAUUCGGUUUAUAUGGUAUAUACCAAAACCAAACCAUAUUGUCUAUUUCGGUUCGGUUCGGUUCGGUUCGGUUCGGUACGGUUCGGUUUUACGAUAUUGAACAGCCCUAUCUCUUCUUAUCUACAUCAAUAUUUCUUUGAUUAAAAAAUUAUAAGUCAUGAAAUUGAUCAAAAUGAUUUUUCUUUGGUCAUUGUUUGAGUGUAACAAUUCAGUUUCAUUAUUAUAUUCGUUACUUCAUCUCAACCCAAAUGUUUCUUCAGUGAAUAUUAAACUAUUAGUUUUUUACACACACACGACUUUACCUUUCAUAUUGUUUGAUUUGGUUCGCGUUAAGAAAAAAUGUUUUGUAUUUGAGAAUUUUAUCCUUAAUUGUAUUGAAUCAAACCUUUCUUUAUAGAAUAGGAUGUAUUCAGGUAGGUUUGAUAUUGUGUACAUAGUUUUAGAUGAUGAAAAACAAAUAAUGAAUCGUUUAAUAUAUCUACUUUUUCAUAUUUAUCCACAUUCACUUUAUACAAAUUUGAAACAUGUGGCUACAGCCUACAGCCCUUACAUACGUGCAGAGAGGCCAUAUUUUGUUAAAGAGGGAUCUCUACGGCUUCGGUGUUGUGCUCAACCAGAUUAUAACCCGACGACCGAACAAAUGAGAGAAACAAACUUAAGGAUUAAUGGCUCCACAAUAACUACGCAGCUGCAUGAGAAUUGAGUUUGGAUAGACUUGCUGAUCUCUGUUUGAAAAGAACGCUACCUAUCAGCCCAAGAUGAAGGUUGUAGUAGAAAACUUGAUGAAGAUUAUCAACGAAUCAGAGAGUGAAAUCGUUAGAUGGCCAUGAGUAAGGAAAGUAGUGAACUAAGAAGCAAGAGUCAAGCCACAUGAGACGUGAAGGGAAGGAAUUAGUGUUGGAAUACAAUUUUUGCGUUUUGAAGAUUUUUUGCAUGUUUCAUAAAAUAUAUAAUUCAAUUAAAGGCAAUUUAGUGGUUCAUACGAGUAAUUGGUCUGUCAAAUAUAUCAAUGACACUACUUCAAUAUCAAAUCCCAAAGCUUGGUUUGCUAAAAUUAUAGAAUAAAUGACAAUGGAAAAGCUUCGUAUAAAUUCUAAUACUUGAACAUGUUAUUUUAUGUUAUAUAUAUAUUUAUUUCGCUAUCCAGAAGAAGCACUAACAAAUGUACUCAUGUAUGCCAUGAACUUUAUAAUUCAUACAUGCAUUAUAUUUUAUCAACUCUCACACUUUCAAAAUUUUAAAGUCUAUAAAAACGAGAAAAAUAACUAUGGAGUUCAUGAAUUUUUAAUACAGACUUUAGACGACAUGGAACAAAAAUUUGAAAAGGCAAAAAAAAAAUUCAAACACUUAUAAAAGUAAGAUAAAUAAUAUUAGAUCCUGAAACAUGUUUACAAUUCAACCAGUUAAAUACCAUCAUUAAAUGUCUGUAUAAGUUGAUGAUAAAAAAAAAAAAUACCAUAAUUGAAAUUUAAUUAAUUUUUGCUCAUUCAGCUAAUCACCUUAUAUAUAAUUUCUAGUAACCAAAGAAAAUUGAAUACUCAAAUUUUUGAAUUGCAUAAGAGAAAAGCAAUGAAAGAUUUAAAAUUAUUUUAUAUUUGUCUAUAGCUAUUUAUAUUUUUAUAAUAGAUUCAAAAAUUUAUAUAUUAAAAUAAACAUACUAAAUAAUAUUGAAUCAAAAUUAAAAUUUAAACAAAAAAUCCGGACGUAGCCCGGGCCGGCCCUAGUAAAGUAUAAAGAUCAAGUUAUAGACAGAUUCAGAGCAUUUAUCACACAUCCAUAGUAUCUAUAUAUCUUACAAUUAAGCACCAAAAUUUAAUAUAUCAUUUGCGGCUCUUUGGAAUUUCUUUAAAGACAUUUGAUACAUGUAUGGAUCUAUUAGUAUGCAUCUAAAGUGUUGGACAGUAAAUAGAACAUCAAAAGCUGUGAUGCUUGAAUAUGUAAUAUCACUAGCCCAUUUCAAAGCCCAUAUUAUUAUUUACCUGAAUAUGUAAUAUCGGUUAGGUCUGCUUGCAUGAUAUGAUGAUAAACAGCUACUCUGAGGGAAAUAUCUUCUCUUUCUAGAAUAAUUUUAUUGGAGAACAAACAAAACGAAGUAUACAAAAGUUUGUAUAUAAUUAAUCAGGACAAAGAUACUUGAUCAAUAUUGUCAGUAGACUCAAUACCACAAAAUAAAUGUAUAAGAAUAAGAUACAUCCUCAAUAUUCAGACCAACAUAUAGUUAUAUUUUUCGAGAAUAGAAAGUAUAUUAUCCAAUUCACGAAAAUGUUAUUUAAGCAACAAAAAUCCAAUCAAACACACACAAAAAGGAUUUAGAAACAUAAAUAAGAUUUGAAACAAAUAUCAAAUAUAAUUACUUCCACACUGACGAGAUUCAUCAAGGUCAUCAGUUGAAUCUCCUGCAGUUUCUCCUAAUCUCACCAGCACGACCGGUAAGCACAUCAACGGCUCCCAUCUUUAUCAUUGCCCUAACAAACUGACGUUUGAAGAAGGCAUUAUUGCUAGCAUAUCGAGCCACAACACCACGAGUUUGACGGUCUGUUGCGAGCCGCUGGUCAACCUGCAUCACUCCUCUCCUUUUACGGAGCUGCUUGAAGAAUUGGUUGUCGAACCUUAGUGGAGUCGACUGGUCUAGUGCCGCUGACGCGCUGUUUCUACAUGUGUUCCUUAAGCUACAUUACAAGAAAAAUAACACAUUCAGAUUAUUAUUCUACAAGUUCAAAUACUAAAUUUCGUUUUGAAUUUAAAAGUAAUUUGCUCAAGUUUUCAUGCAAAAAUUGUUUUCCCAACUUUACUGAGAAAAAAAUUGUUCGAAAAAAUCCAACUUCUUAGAAUUUUAAAACGUAGAAUACGGGUUUUUAGGUAAUGCCAACCAUGAAAUAUGUCAUAUGUUAAAUGGGUACUUCGUGAAGUUUUCAGAAUUUAUAUAAUUGAAUUUGCAACAAUUUUACUGCUCUAACUAGGAUAAAAUAAUACUCAAAAUUUUCUCAAAGUUAGAAUUUUUGUUCAUUCUUAAGUAAUUUUUUUCAAAAAAAUUAAUCUUAAAUUUUGUUGGUAAUUGACUGAACCGACUGAGCAGGUUUAAAAAUUACCUGGAAACCAAAGCUGGGUCCAUGGCCGGGAUAAUCCGAGGGAACAGUUCCGUCGGUAUAUUCCUAUCGAUCGAUGUAUAUAUGUCUAAAACGCAUCGAUCGAUGAACGUCCGAGGAAAUAUCCCGACGAAGUUCUCCCUCGGUAUAUUCCGAGGACAUUUCCGACAAAAUAAUGGUCCUCGGAAUUUCCUCGGAAAUUUGUUUCCUCGGAAUUCCGUCGGAAAAUUCCGAGGGAUUUCCGACGAAAGAAGAAAUUCCGAGGAAUUAUUUCCGACGACUUGUUUCGUCGGUAUGUCGUCGGAAUAACGGUAUUCCGACGAAAUUCCGACGAUUUUUUCCCUCAGAAUCUUUGAUGUUUUCUUGUAGUGUUGGACCCGUAGACAGAUCCUUCUCCAAAAAUACUCUGGAGAUUUUGCAAACAAAGGUUUGCUUCUCCGUCUCCGGUAAACACAUCAGAUCUGCUCUCUCGAGACGGCAUGGCUCUGUGAAGCAGAACUCUGCGACGAUCCCUGAAUAUAGCAAAGCGGAAGGAGGCGGAGUGGUUUUGGAUACGAGCUUUGGUGAUGAAUUUGGUCGUGCCCAUUUUGGAUACACACCUACUGUUAAGUUUAAGAAAGGUGAUAACAAAGGACUACAAGUUGCUGUAAAAGUUAUUCCAAAACCAAAGGUUAGUGUUUUUUGAUUUAGUGUCUUCUGGUUCUGUACUAAUGAUGAUGAGAUCUGUUGGAUUUUUUUUUUGUAAUUUGUGUAGUUGUGUGGAGAGAAAUGAAGAUCUUGAGAGCUCUGUCUGGUCAUGAUAACCUUCCUCAUUUCUAUGAUGCAUAUGAGGAUCAUUGAUAAUGUCUAUAGUGAAUGUAGUGAUAAUGCAAGUGAUUUGUUGUUUUAGGCUACGUGAAGGAGGAGAGCUUUUCGAUAGAUACUUUCAAGGUAAGGGAACAAUACACUUCCGACAUAGGAUCCGACGUAGGAUUGUAUGUGCUAUACUGAACUUGGUGGUGUGUUUUAUGUGCAGAGGUGGGAAGUAUAUGAGUAGGACGCAAAGACUGUUAUGAUUCAAAAAAA
This 6487-nucleotide long non-coding RNA is filed under the name Brassica napus (rape). RNAcentral describes it as "long non-coding RNA (BNAP_LNC025607)". The record is from RNAcentral. Lineage: Eukaryota; Viridiplantae; Streptophyta; Magnoliopsida; Brassicales; Brassicaceae.